RNAcentral lists this ribosomal RNA (2545 nucleotides) under Klebsiella pneumoniae. Its description in RNAcentral is "partial 23S ribosomal RNA". It matches the Rfam family "Bacterial large subunit ribosomal RNA", at positions 398 to 2925 of the family's 2925-position model. The record is from RNAcentral. Lineage: Bacteria; Pseudomonadati; Pseudomonadota; Gammaproteobacteria; Enterobacterales; Enterobacteriaceae.
UGUGAACUCGAAGAGUAGGGCGGGACACGUGGUAUCCUGUCUGAAUAUGGGGGGACCAUCCUCCAAGGCUAAAUACUCCUGACUGACCGAUAGUGAACCAGUACCGUGAGGGAAAGGCGAAAAGAACCCCGGCGAGGGGAGUGAAAAAGAACCUGAAACCGUGUACGUACAAGCAGUGGGAGCACCUUCGGGUGUGACUGCGUACCUUUUGUAUAAUGGGUCAGCGACUUAUAUUCUGUAGCAAGGUUAACCGUAUAGGGGAGCCGCAGGGAAACCGAGUCUUAACUGGGCGUUAAGUUGCAGGGUAUAGACCCGAAACCCGGUGAUCUAGCCAUGGGCAGGUUGAAGGUUGGGUAACACUAACUGGAGGACCGAACCGACUAAUGUUGAAAAAUUAGCGGAUGACUUGUGGCUGGGGGUGAAAGGCCAAUCAAACCGGGAGAUAGCUGGUUCUCCCCGAAAGCUAUUUAGGUAGCGCCUCGUGAAUUCAUCUUCGGGGGUAGAGCACUGUUUCGGCUAGGGGGUCAUCCCGACUUACCAACCCGAUGCAAACUACGAAUACCGAAGAAUGUUAUCACGGGAGACACACGGCGGGUGCUAACGUCCGUCGUGAAGAGGGAAACAACCCAGACCGCCAGCUAAGGUCCCAAAGUCAUGGUUAAGUGGGAAACGAUGUGGGAAGGCACAGACAGCCAGGAUGUUGGCUUAGAAGCAGCCAUCAUUUAAAGAAAGCGUAAUAGCUCACUGGUCGAGUCGGCCUGCGCGGAAGAUGUAACGGGGCUAAACCAUGCACCGAAGCUGCGGCAGCGACACUAUGUGUUGUUGGGUAGGGGAGCGUUCUGUAAGCCUGCGAAGGUGACCUGUGAGGGUUGCUGGAGGUAUCAGAAGUGCGAAUGCUGACAUAAGUAACGAUAAAGCGGGUGAAAAGCCCGCUCGCCGGAAGACCAAGGGUUCCUGUCCAACGUUAAUCGGGGCAGGGUGAGUCGACCCCUAAGGCGAGGCCGAAAGGCGUAGUCGAUGGGAAACAGGUUAAUAUUCCUGUACUUGGUGUUACUGCGAAGGGGGGACGGAGAAGGCUAUGUUAGCCGGGCGACGGUUGUCCCGGUUUAAGCAUGUAGGCUGGUUGUCCAGGCAAAUCCGGAUAAUCAAGGCUGAGGUGUGAUGACGAGGCACUACGGUGCUGAAGUAACAAAUGCCCUGCUUCCAGGAAAAGCCUCUAAGCAUCAGGUAACAUCAAAUCGUACCCCAAACCGACACAGGUGGUCAGGUAGAGAAUACCAAGGCGCUUGAGAGAACUCGGGUGAAGGAACUAGGCAAAAUGGUGCCGUAACUUCGGGAGAAGGCACGCUGGUGUGUAGGUGAAGUCCCUGCGGAUGGAGCUGAGACCAGUCGAAGAUACCAGCUGGCUGCAACUGUUUAUUAAAAACACAGCACUGUGCAAACACGAAAGUGGACGUAUACGGUGUGACGCCUGCCCGGUGCCGGAAGGUUAAUUGAUGGGGUUAUCCGUAAGGAGAAGCUCUUGAUCGAAGCCCCGGUAAACGGCGGCCGUAACUAUAACGGUCCUAAGGUAGCGAAAUUCCUUGUCGGGUAAGUUCCGACCUGCACGAAUGGCGUAAUGAUGGCCAGGCUGUCUCCACCCGAGACUCAGUGAAAUUGAACUCGCUGUGAAGAUGCAGUGUACCCGCGGCAAGACGGAAAGACCCCGUGAACCUUUACUAUAGCUUGACACUGAACAUUGAGCCUUGAUGUGUAGGAUAGGUGGGAGGCUUUGAAGCGUGGACGCCAGUCUGCGUGGAGCCAACCUUGAAAUACCACCCUUUAAUGUUUGAUGUUCUAACGUUGGCCCCUGACCGGGGUUGCGGACAGUGUCUGGUGGGUAGUUUGACUGGGGCGGUCUCCUCCCAAAGCGUAACGGAGGAGCACGAAGGUUAGCUAAUCCUGGUCGGACAUCAGGAGGUUAGUGCAAUGGCAUAAGCUAGCUUGACUGCGAGCGUGACGGCGCGAGCAGGUGCGAAAGCAGGUCAUAGUGAUCCGGUGGUUCUGAAUGGAAGGGCCAUCGCUCAACGGAUAAAAGGUACUCCGGGGAUAACAGGCUGAUACCGCCCAAGAGUUCAUAUCGACGGCGGUGUUUGGCACCUCGAUGUCGGCUCAUCACAUCCUGGGGCUGAAGUAGGUCCCAAGGGUAUGGCUGUUCGCCAUUUAAAGUGGUACGCGAGCUGGGUUUAGAACGUCGUGAGACAGUUCGGUCCCUAUCUGCCGUGGGCGCUGGAGAAUUGAGGGGGGCUGCUCCUAGUACGAGAGGACCGGAGUGGACGCAUCACUGGUGUUCGGGUUGUCAUGCCAAUGGCACUGCCCGGUAGCUAAAUGCGGAAGAGAUAAGUGCUGAAAGCAUCUAAGCACGAAACUUGCCCCGAGAUGAGUUCUCCCUGAGACUUUAAGUCUCCUGAAGGAACGUUGAAGACGACGACGUUGAUAGGCCGGGUGUGUAAGCGCAGCGAUGCGUUGAGCUAACCGGUACUAAUGAACCGUGAGGCUUAACCUU